This 253-nucleotide ribosomal RNA is filed under the name uncultured bacterium. Its description in RNAcentral is "partial 16S ribosomal RNA". It matches the Rfam family "Bacterial small subunit ribosomal RNA", at positions 524 to 776 of the family's 1533-position model. The record is from RNAcentral.
UACGUAGGGACCAAGCGUUGUCCGGAAUCAUUGGGCGUAAAGCGCACGUAGGCGGUCUGUUAUGUCGGAUGUGAAAGCCCUUGGCUUAACUGAGGAAGUGCAUCCGAAACUGGCAGGCUAGAGUACUAAAGAGGGUCGCGGAAUUCCCGGUGUAGAGGUGAAAUUCGUAGAUAUCGGGAGGAACACCGGUGGCGAAGGCGGCGACCUGGGUAGAUACUGACGCUGAGGUGCGAAAGCGUGGGGAGCAAACAGG